RNAcentral lists this transfer RNA (75 nucleotides) under Armatimonadetes bacterium RBG_16_58_9. RNAcentral's name for it is "tRNA-Thr". It matches the Rfam family "tRNA". From Rfam's summary of the family: Transfer RNA (tRNA) molecules are approximately 80 nucleotides in length. RNAcentral also lists the same sequence under 2 other names. The record is from RNAcentral. Lineage: Bacteria; Bacillati; Armatimonadota.
GCCGACGUAGCUCAGUGGUAGAGCAGGGCUUUCGUAAAGCUCAGGCCGUGGGUUCGAAUCCCUCCGUCGGCUCCA